RNAcentral lists this ribosomal RNA (427 nucleotides) under uncultured Massilia sp. Its description in RNAcentral is "bacterial SSU rRNA". It matches the Rfam family "Bacterial small subunit ribosomal RNA", at positions 355 to 774 of the family's 1533-position model. The record is from RNAcentral. Lineage: Bacteria; Pseudomonadati; Pseudomonadota; Betaproteobacteria; Burkholderiales; Oxalobacteraceae.
UGGGGAAUUUUGGACAAUGGGCGCAAGCCUGAUCCAGCAAUGCCGCGUGAGUGAAGAAGGCCUUCGGGUUGUAAAGCUCUUUUGUCAGGGAAGAAACGGGGUUGGCUAAUAUCUGAUCCUAAUGACGGUACCUGAAGAAUAAGCACCGGCUAACUACGUGCCAGCAGCCGCGGUAAUACGUAGGGUGCAAGCGUUAAUCGGAAUUACUGGGCGUAAAGCGUGCGCAGGCGGUUUUGUAAGUCUGUCGUGAAAGCCCCGGGCUUAACCUGGGAAUUGCGAUGGAGACUGCAAGGCUUGAAUCUGGCAGAGGGGGGUAGAAUUCCACGUGUAGCAGUGAAAUGCGUAGAGAUGUGGAGGAACACCGAUGGCGAAGGCAGCCCCCUGGGUCAAGAUUGACGCUCAUGCACGAAAGCGUGGGGAGCAAACA